GAUGAACGCUGGCGGCGUGCCUAAUACAUGCAAGUCGAGCGAACGGACGAGAAGCUUGCUUUUCUGAUGUUAGCGGCGGACGGGUGAGUAACACGUGGAUAACCUACCUAUAAGACUGGGAUAACUUCGGGAAACCGGAGCUAAUACCGGAUAAUAUUUUGAACCGCAUGGUUCAAAAGUGAAAGACGGUCUUGCUGUCACUUAUAGAUGGAUCCGCGCUGCAUUAGCUAGUUGGUAAGGUAACGGCUUACCAAGGCAACGAUGCAUAGCCGACCUGAGAGGGUGAUCGGCCACACUGGAACUGAGACACGGUCCAGACUCCUACGGGAGGCAGCAGUAGGGAAUCGUCCGCAGUGGGCGAAAGCCUGACGGAGCAGCGCCGCGUGAGUGAUGAAGGUCUUCGGAUCGUAAAACUCUGUUAUUAGGGAAGAACAUAUGUGUAAGUAACUGUGCACAUCUUGACGGUACCUAAUCAGAAAGCCACGGCUAACUACGUG
Molecule: ribosomal RNA, 497 nt
Filed under: uncultured bacterium
Lineage: Bacteria
Description: partial 16S ribosomal RNA
Rfam family: Bacterial small subunit ribosomal RNA
Source: RNAcentral